This 484-nucleotide ribosomal RNA is filed under the name uncultured bacterium. Its description in RNAcentral is "bacterial SSU rRNA". It matches the Rfam family "Bacterial small subunit ribosomal RNA", at positions 30 to 506 of the family's 1533-position model. The record is from RNAcentral.
UUGAACGCUGGCGGCAGGCCUAACACAUGCAAGUCGAGCGGUAACACAAGGGAGCUUGCUCCUGAGGUGACGAGCGGCGGACGGGUGAGUAAUGCCUAGGUAUCUGCCCAGUCGAGGGGGAUAACAGUUGGAAACGACUGCUAAUACCGCAUACGCCCUACGGGGGAAAGAGGGGACCUUCGGGCCUUCCGCGAUUGGAUGAACCUAGGUGGGAUUAGCUAGUUGGUGAGGUAAUGGCUCACCAAGGCGACGAUCCCUAGCUGGUCUGAGAGGAUGAUCAGCCACACUGGAACUGAGACACGGUCCAGACUCCUACGGGAGGCAGCAGUGGGGAAUAUUGCACAAUGGGCAAAGCCUGAUGCAGCCAUGCCGCGUGUGUGAAGAAGGCCUUCGGGUGUAAAGCACUUUCAGCGAGAAGAAAGGUUAACGAUUAAUACUCGUUAGCUGUGACGUUACUCGCAGAAGAAGCACCGGCUAACUUCGU